GGUAAUACCGGCGCCUCAAGUGGUAGUCGCUUUUAUUGGGCCUAAAACGUCCGUAGCCGGUUUGGUACAUUCGUGGGUAAAUCAACUCGCUCAACGAGUUGAAUUCUGCGAGGACGGCCAAACUUGGGACCGGGAGAGGUGUGGGGUACUCUCAGGGUAGGGGUAAAAUCCUGUCAUCCUGAGAGGACCACCUGUUGCGAAGGCGCCACACUAGAACGGAUCCGACGGUCAGGGACGAAGCCUAGGGGCACGAACCGGAUUAGAUACCCGGGUAGUCCUAGGUGUAAACGCUGUGGACUUGAUGUUGGAGAAGCUCCGAGCUUCUUCAGUGUCGAAGCGAAGGUGAUAAGUCCACUGCCUGGGAAGUACGGUCGCAAGGCUGAAACUUAGGUAAUACCGGCGCCUCAAGUGGUAGUCGCUUUUAUUGGGCCUAAAACGUCCGUAGCCGGUUUGGUACAUUCGUGGGUAAAUCAACUCGCUCAACGAGUUGAAUUCUGCGAGGACGGCCAAACUUGGGACCGGGAGAGGUGUGGGGUACUCUCAGGGUAGGGGUAAAAUCCUGUCAUCCUGAGAGGACCACCUGUUGCGAAGGCGCCACACUAGAACGGAUCCGACGGUCAGGGACGAAGCCUAGGGGCACGAACCGGAUUAGAUACCCGGGUAGUCCUAGGUGUAAACGCUGUGGACUUGAUGUUGGAGAAGCUCCGAGCUUCUUCAGUGUCGAAGCGAAGGUGAUAAGUCCACUGCCUGGGAAGUACGGUCGCAAGGCUGAAACUUA
RNAcentral lists this ribosomal RNA (778 nucleotides) under uncultured euryarchaeote. RNAcentral describes it as "bacterial SSU rRNA". The stretch from base 1 to 479 matches the Rfam family "Archaeal small subunit ribosomal RNA", at positions 469 to 1478 of the family's 1478-position model. The record is from RNAcentral. Lineage: Archaea; Methanobacteriati; Methanobacteriota.